Molecule: ribosomal RNA, 626 nt
Filed under: Galerina pseudomycenopsis
Lineage: Eukaryota; Fungi; Basidiomycota; Agaricomycetes; Agaricales; Galerinaceae
Description: eukaryotic LSU rRNA
Rfam family: 5.8S ribosomal RNA (bases 257-410)
Source: RNAcentral
GAACCUGCGGAAGGAUCAUUAUUGAAUGAACUUGGCGUGGUUGUCGCUGGCCCUCUCGAGGGUAUGUGCACGCCCGUCAUCUUUAUCUUUCCACCUGUGCACACUUUGUAGACUUGAAUAGUAUUUUCUGAGGCAACUCAGUCGGGAGGAUUGCUGGUAUUAUCAGCUCUCCUUGCAUUAUUCAAGCCUAUGUUUUCAUAUACCCCAAAAAUGUAACAGAAUGUAUCAUUGGGCCUUGUGCCUAUAAACUAUAUACAACUUUCAGCAACGGAUCUCUUGGCUCUCGCAUCGAUGAAGAACGCAGCGAAAUGCGAUAAGUAAUGUGAAUUGCAGAAUUCAGUGAAUCAUCGAAUCUUUGAACGCACCUUGCGCUCCUUGGUAUUCCGAGGAGCAUGCCUGUUUGAGUGUCAUUAAAUUCUCAACCUUACCAGUUUUCACAAGUUGGUAAUGGCUUGGACUUGGGGGUUUUUUGGCUGGCUUCGUCAAGAGGUCUGCUCCCUUAAAUGUAUUAGCCCGUACCCGUGUGGAGUCGUCUAUUGGUGUGAUAAUUAUCUACGCCGUGGGCCUUCACUUUAAAUGGAUUGUACUGCUUCUAACCGUCCGUUAAGUCGGACAAAUAAUGACAA